UGCAAGUCGAACGGAGAUUUUAUUUCGGUAAAAUCUUAGUGGCGAACGGGUGAGUAACGCGUAGGCAACCUGCCCCACAGCCGGGGACAACUUCCCGAAAGGGAAGCUAAUACCGGAUACGAACCGGGCAUCGCAUGAUGCCGGGUUGAAAGAUGGCCUCUAUUUAUACGCUAUCGCUGUGGGAUGGGCCUGCGUCCGAUUAGCUGGUUGGUGAGGUAACGGCUCACCAAGGCGACGAUCGGUAGCCGGUCUGAGAGGAUGAACGGCCACAUUGGGACUGAGACACGGCCCAGACUCCUACGGGAG
RNAcentral lists this ribosomal RNA (306 nucleotides) under uncultured bacterium. Its description in RNAcentral is "bacterial SSU rRNA". It matches the Rfam family "Bacterial small subunit ribosomal RNA", at positions 56 to 347 of the family's 1533-position model. The record is from RNAcentral.